CUUGCUCUCGGGUGACGAGCGGCGGACGGGUGAGUAAUGUCUGGGAAACUGCCUGAUGGAGGGGGAUAACUACUGGAAACGGUAGCUAAUACCGCAUAACGUCGCAAGACCAAAGUGGGGGACCUUCGGGCCUCAUGCCAUCAGAUGUGCCCAGAUGGGAUUAGCUAGUAGGUGGGGUAACGGCUCACCUAGGCGACGAUCCCUAGCUGGUCUGAGAGGAUGACCAGCCACACUGGAACUGAGACACGGUCCAGACUCCUACGGGAGGCAGCAGUGGGGAAUAUUGCACAAUGGGCGCAAGCCUGAUGCAGCCAUGCCGCGUGUGUGAAGAAGGCCUUCGGGUUGUAAAGCACUUUCAGCGGGGAGGAAGGCGAUGAGGUUAAUAACCUUGUCGAUUGACGUUACCCGCAGAAGAAGCACCGGCUAACUCCGUGCCAGCAGCCGCGGUAAUACGGAGGGUGCAAGCGUUAAUCGGAAUUACUGGGCGUAAAGCGCACGCAGGCGGUCUGUCAAGUCGGAUGUGAAAUCCCCGGGCUCAACCUGGGAACUGCAUUCGAAACUGGCAGGCUAGAGUCUUGUAGAGGGGGGUAGAAUUCCA
Molecule: ribosomal RNA, 598 nt
Filed under: Klebsiella pneumoniae
Lineage: Bacteria; Pseudomonadati; Pseudomonadota; Gammaproteobacteria; Enterobacterales; Enterobacteriaceae
Description: bacterial SSU rRNA
Rfam family: Bacterial small subunit ribosomal RNA
Source: RNAcentral